GAAUUAUUAAUAGCUGUCAGUGCGGAUGGUUGCUGCUUGGGAUUGUUGCUUGAAAUAACCUAUUCUGGCUAAUAAUUGUCACAAGAGUUGAUAAUGGCAGACCUGGAAUUGUACAUAGACAGUAAGGAAAGUGAGCAACCACCUUUAAUCUGUGCUGGUCCAAGUAGAAGACUGGGAGCUGAAUGAAAUGGCAAGUGGUGCCCUGAACUGGCAGGAAUGUUUCCAGUAUGCCCACAGGCAGCGGAUUCUGCUCAGCAACAUGAAGCCUGCUGGGAAAUAAGACGUGAUUUGCUUCCAGAAGAACAUUACAAUAACAAAAUAGUGAAAUUCUAAUU
Dromaius novaehollandiae (emu) is the source of this 335-nucleotide long non-coding RNA. RefSeq lists it as uncharacterized. The record is from RefSeq and is a predicted model, not a curated record. The transcript is spliced from 3 exons. Lineage: Eukaryota; Metazoa; Chordata; Aves; Casuariiformes; Dromaiidae.